ACGAACGCUGGCGGCGUGCUUAACCCCUGCAAGUCGAACGGUGAAGCCCUUCGGGGUGGAUCAGUGGCGAACGGGUGAGUAACACGUGAGCAACCUGCCCCUGGCUCUGGGACAACCACUGGAAACGGUGGCUAAUACCGGAUACGACCCGCCUCGGCAUCGAGUGUGGGUGGAAAGUUUUUCGGCUGGGGAUGGGCUCGCGGCCUAUCAGCUUGUUGGUGAGGUGAAGGCUCACCAAGGCGACGACGGGUAGCCGGCCUGAGAGGGCGACCGGCCACACUGGGACUGAGACACGGCCCAGACUCCUACGGGAGGCAGCAGUGGGGAAUAUUGCACAAUGGGCGAAAGCCUGAUGCAGCGACGCCGCGUGAGGGAUGACGGCCUUCGGGUUGUAAACCUCUUUCAGCUCCGAAGAAGCGAAAGUGACGGUAGGAGCAGAAGAAGCACCGGCUAACUACGUG
RNAcentral lists this ribosomal RNA (461 nucleotides) under uncultured bacterium. Its description in RNAcentral is "partial 16S ribosomal RNA". It matches the Rfam family "Bacterial small subunit ribosomal RNA", at positions 29 to 507 of the family's 1533-position model. The record is from RNAcentral.